GAAAUCGGUAGACGCUACGGACUUAAAAUCCGUCGACUUUAUAAGUCGUGAGGGUUCAAGUCCCUCUAUCCCCA
This 74-nucleotide transfer RNA is filed under the name Zea mays. RNAcentral's name for it is "partial tRNA-Leu". It matches the Rfam family "tRNA", at positions 12 to 71 of the family's 71-position model. Rfam says of the family: Transfer RNA (tRNA) molecules are approximately 80 nucleotides in length. Their secondary structure includes four short double-helical elements and three loops (D, anti-codon, and T loops). The record is from RNAcentral. RNAcentral also lists the same sequence under 12 other names. Lineage: Eukaryota; Viridiplantae; Streptophyta; Magnoliopsida; Poales; Poaceae.